RNAcentral lists this long non-coding RNA (557 nucleotides) under Salvia miltiorrhiza (redroot sage). RNAcentral's name for it is "long non-coding RNA (SMIL_LNC003155)". Lineage: Eukaryota; Viridiplantae; Streptophyta; Magnoliopsida; Lamiales; Lamiaceae. The record is from RNAcentral.
UGAAUAAAGUAUAAUAUUCGUGAAUAUAUUAUGUAAUCACAAUUUGUAAAUGAACAGAAUACAAUUUUUCUGAAUGAGUAGAAUAUAUUCAGAUUUCGUAAAAGCAAGAAUUUCCCCAAAUUUUCAGUAAUUAAGCUCAAUGCAGCACCCACACGACCAGGACGCUUUGGGGAUUGGGCUGACGUAGUUCUGCAAUGAAACAAAAGAGGAUUCAAUCAUAAACCCAUUAAAGAUACAAUAUUAAAGUUUAAAAAAAGCUCCUGAUGCAAGAUGACGGAUUUCAGGUCACUUUUAGAAAAACUAGUUGAUGCCGGCGACCGGGAACCACGAUCCGGCCUACUGUGGACGGGUUGAUGCCGGCGACCGAUUUUCUUCAAAAAAAAUUCGCUGAAAAACCGAGGGUCUUCAACGGAUUGUUUGAUUUGCAGGAAUUAUGAAAACCCUAAUAAUUUACAGAAUAAAAGAAUGAAUGAAGGUGAAGGCGUGAAUUUCGGAAGAGAGAGAUUUCUGCAGAUCGUGUGUGGGGUUUAAAAGACUGAAUAACCCUUUUAUGAAUA